AAUCGCGGCGCGUGGGAACGUGCUGAGGAAAGUCCGGGCAUCACAGAGCAGGGUAGCUGAUAACGUCAGCCGAGGGCGACCUUAGGGCUAGUGCAACAGAGAUAUACCGCCGUGACUGCUUGCAGUCACAGUAAGGGUGGAAAGGCGAGGUAAGAGCUCACCGGAGUUCGGGAGACCGAACUGCCAUGUAAACCCUAUCCGAUGCAACGCCGAUUGGUACGGGGAGCAACGCGUCUGCUCGGCGCGCCUCGUUUAAGGCGGCUUGACUCUUUCGGUGACGAAAGAGCUAGAUAGAUGAUUAUACACGACAGAACCCGGCUUAUCGA
This 326-nucleotide RNase P RNA is filed under the name pig gut metagenome. RNAcentral's name for it is "Bacterial RNase P class A". It matches the Rfam family "Bacterial RNase P class A". From Rfam's summary of the family: Ribonuclease P (RNase P) is a ubiquitous endoribonuclease, found in archaea, bacteria and eukarya as well as chloroplasts and mitochondria. The record is from RNAcentral.